CCCUAGUUCGGAUUGUGGGCUGAAACUCGCCUACAUGAAGCUGGAAUUGCUAGUAAUCACAGGUCAGCAUACUGUGGUGAAUACGUUCCCGGGCCUUGUACACACCGCCCGUCACACCAUGAGAGUUGAGAAUACCCGAAGCCCAUGUCAAAGUGGUCGAAGGUAGGCUUGAUGAUUGGGGUGAAGUCGUAACAAGGUAUC
Molecule: ribosomal RNA, 201 nt
Filed under: uncultured bacterium
Lineage: Bacteria
Description: partial 16S ribosomal RNA
Rfam family: Bacterial small subunit ribosomal RNA
Source: RNAcentral